Anser brachyrhynchus (Pink-footed goose) is the source of this 67-nucleotide small nucleolar RNA. Its record names the gene SNORD58. It matches the Rfam family "Small nucleolar RNA SNORD58". Rfam says of the family: snoRNA U58 is found in introns 1, 3 and 6 of the ribosomal protein RPL17 gene in humans. U58 is a member of the C/D class of snoRNA which contain C (UGAUGA) and D (CUGA) box motifs. Most of the members of the box C/D family function in directing site-specific 2'-O-methylation of substrate RNAs. Lineage: Eukaryota; Metazoa; Chordata; Aves; Anseriformes; Anatidae. The record is from Ensembl.
UGGCGGUGAUGACGAUCUUAGGACACCUUUGGAAUGACCGUGAAAUAAUCGUUUCUUGCUGAGCCAU